This 20-nucleotide small nuclear RNA is filed under the name Arabidopsis thaliana (thale cress). Its description in RNAcentral is "snRNA_14175". The record is from RNAcentral. Lineage: Eukaryota; Viridiplantae; Streptophyta; Magnoliopsida; Brassicales; Brassicaceae.
GAAACCCGUCUGAUAGCGCU